AAUAUACAAGGUGCUGCAUGGUUGUCGUCAGCUCGUGCCGUGAGGUGUCGGGUUAAGUCCCAUAACGAGCGCAACCCCUGUCCUUAGUUACCAGCACGUUAUGGUGGGCACUCUAAGGAGACUGCCGGUGACAAACCGGAGGAAGGUGGGGAUGACGUCAAGUCAUCAUGGCCCUUACGGCCUGGGCUACACACGUGCUACAAUGGUCGGUACAAAGGGUUGCCAAGCCGCGAGGUGGAGCUAAUCCCAUAAAACCGAUCGUAGUCCGGAUCGCAGUCUGCAACUCGACUGCGUGAAGUCGGAAUCGCUAGUAAUCGUGAAUCAGAAUGUCACGGUGAAUACGUUCCCGGGCCUU
This 355-nucleotide ribosomal RNA is filed under the name uncultured Pseudomonas sp. RNAcentral's name for it is "bacterial SSU rRNA". It matches the Rfam family "Bacterial small subunit ribosomal RNA", at positions 1028 to 1382 of the family's 1533-position model. Lineage: Bacteria; Pseudomonadati; Pseudomonadota; Gammaproteobacteria; Pseudomonadales; Pseudomonadaceae. The record is from RNAcentral.